GAGGGGGUGCAAACGUUAUUCGGGAUUUACUGGGCGUAAAGGGUGCGUAGACGGCGCAUUAAGUUGUUGUUAAAUCUUUCGGGCCUAACCGGGAAGCUUGCGAUGAAAACUAAUGUGCUAGAGGAUGGAAGAGAGAAGUGGAAUUCUUGGAGUAGCGGUAAAAUGCGUAGAUCUCAAGAGGAACACCGAUGGCGAAGGCAGCUUCUUGGUCCAAUCCUGACGUUGAUGCACGAAAGCGUGGGGAGCAAACAGGAUUAGAUACCCUGGUAGUCCACGCCGUAAACGAUGAUUACUGGAUGUCAGAUUCGCUUUGCGAAGCUGGUAUCGAAGCUAACGCGUUAAGUAAUCCGCCUGGGAACUACGAUCGCAAGAUUA
Molecule: ribosomal RNA, 375 nt
Filed under: uncultured organism
Description: partial 16S ribosomal RNA
Rfam family: Bacterial small subunit ribosomal RNA
Source: RNAcentral